Molecule: ribosomal RNA, 1365 nt
Filed under: Kocuria rosea
Lineage: Bacteria; Bacillati; Actinomycetota; Actinomycetes; Micrococcales; Micrococcaceae
Description: bacterial SSU rRNA
Rfam family: Bacterial small subunit ribosomal RNA
Source: RNAcentral
UCGAACGAUGAUGCCCAGCUUGCUGGGCGGAUUAGUGGCGAACGGGUGAGUAAUACGUGAGUAACCUGCCCUUGACUCUGGGAUAAGCCUGGGAAACUGGGUCUAAUACUGGAUACUACUUCCUGCCGCAUGGUGGGUGGUGGAAAGGGUUUUACUGGUUUUGGAUGGGCUCACGGCCUAUCAGCUUGUUGGUGGGGUAAUGGCUCACCAAGGCGACGACGGGUAGCCGGCCUGAGAGGGUGACCGGCCACACUGGGACUGAGACACGGCCCAGACUCCUACGGGAGGCAGCAGUGGGGAAUAUUGCACAAUGGGCGGAAGCCUGAUGCAGCGACGCCGCGUGAGGGAUGACGGCCUUCGGGUUGUAAACCUCUUUCAGUAGGGAAGAAGCGAGAGUGACGGUACCUGCAGAAGAAGCGCCGGCUAACUACGUGCCAGCAGCCGCGGUAAUACGUAGGGCGCAAGCGUUGUCCGGAAUUAUUGGGCGUAAAGAGCUCGUAGGCGGUUUGUCGCGUCUGCUGUGAAAGCCCGGGGCUCAACCCCGGGUCUGCAGUGGGUACGGGCAGACUAGAGUGCAGUAGGGGAGACUGGAAUUCCUGGUGUAGCGGUGAAAUGCGCAGAUAUCAGGAGGAACACCGAUGGCGAAGGCAGGUCUCUGGGCUGUUACUGACGCUGAGGAGCGAAAGCAUGGGGAGCGAACAGGAUUAGAUACCCUGGUAGUCCAUGCCGUAAACGUUGGGCACUAGGUGUGGGGGACAUUCCACGUUUUCCGCGCCGUAGCUAACGCAUUAAGUGCCCCGCCUGGGGAGUACGGCCGCAAGGCUAAAACUCAAAGGAAUUGACGGGGGCCCGCACAAGCGGCGGAGCAUGCGGAUUAAUUCGAUGCAACGCGAAGAACCUUACCAAGGCUUGACAUUCACCGGACCGCCCCAGAGAUGGGGUUUCCCUUCGGGGCUGGUGGACAGGUGGUGCAUGGUUGUCGUCAGCUCGUGUCGUGAGAUGUUGGGUUAAGUCCCGCAACGAGCGCAACCCUCGUUCUAUGUUGCCAGCACGUGAUGGUGGGGACUCAUAGGAGACUGCCGGGGUCAACUCGGAGGAAGGUGGGGAUGACGUCAAAUCAUCAUGCCCCUUAUGUCUUGGGCUUCACGCAUGCUACAAUGGCCGGUACAAAGGGUUGCGAUACUGUGAGGUGGAGCUAAUCCCAAAAAGCCGGUCUCAGUUCGGAUUGAGGUCUGCAACUCGACCUCAUGAAGUCGGAGUCGCUAGUAAUCGCAGAUCAGCAACGCUGCGGUGAAUACGUUCCCGGGCCUUGUACACACCGCCCGUCAAGUCACGAAAGUUGGUAACACCCGAAGCCGGUGGCCU